RNAcentral lists this ribosomal RNA (1097 nucleotides) under Halomonas sp. RNAcentral's name for it is "bacterial SSU rRNA". It matches the Rfam family "Bacterial small subunit ribosomal RNA", at positions 395 to 1486 of the family's 1533-position model. Lineage: Bacteria; Pseudomonadati; Pseudomonadota; Gammaproteobacteria; Oceanospirillales; Halomonadaceae. The record is from RNAcentral.
UGCCGCGUGUGUGAAGAAGGCCUUCGGGUUGUAAAGCACUUUCAGCGAGGAAGAACGCCUAGUGGUUAAUACCCAUUAGGAAAGACAUCACUCGCAGAAGAAGCACCGGCUAACUCCGUGCCAGCAGCCGCGGUAAUACGGAGGGUGCGAGUGUUAAUCGGAAUUACUGGGCGUAAAGCGCGCGUAGGUGGCUUGAUAAGCCGGUUGUGAAAGCCCCGGGCUCAACCUGGGAACGGCAUCCGGAACUGUCAAGCUAGAGUGCAGGAGAGGAAGGUAGAAUUCCCGGUGUAGCGGUGAAAUGCGUAGAGAUCGGGAGGAAUACCAGUGGCGAAGGCGGCCUUCUGGACUGACACUGACACUGAGGUGCGAAAGCGUGGGUAGCAAACAGGAUUAGAUACCCUGGUAGUCCACGCCGUAAACGAUGUCGACCAGCCGUUGGGUGCCUAGCGCACUUUGUGGCGAAGUUAACGCGAUAAGUCGACCGCCUGGGGAGUACGGCCGCAAGGUUAAAACUCAAAUGAAUUGACGGGGGCCCGCACAAGCGGUGGAGCAUGUGGUUUAAUUCGAUGCAACGCGAAGAACCUUACCUACUCUUGACAUCUACAGAAGCCGGAAGAGAUUCUGGUGUGCCUUCGGGAACUGUAAGACAGGUGCUGCAUGGCUGUCGUCAGCUCGUGUUGUGAAAUGUUGGGUUAAGUCCCGUAACGAGCGCAACCCUUGUCCUUAUUUGCCAGCGCGUAAUGGCGGGAACUCUAAGGAGACUGCCGGUGACAAACCGGAGGAAGGUGGGGACGACGUCAAGUCAUCAUGGCCCUUACGAGUAGGGCUACACACGUGCUACAAUGGCCGGUACAAAGGGUUGCGAGCUCGCGAGAGUCAGCUAAUCCCGAAAAGCCGGUCUCAGUCCGGGAUCGGAGUCUGCAACUCGACUCCGUGAAGUCGGAAUCGCUAGUAAUCGUGAAUCAGAAUGUCACGGUGAAUACGUUCCCGGGCCUUGUACACACCGCCCGUCACACCAUGGGAGUGGACUGCACCAGAAGUGGUUAGCCUAACGCAAGAGGGCGAUCACCACGGUGUGGUUCAUGACUGGGGGAAGU